Long non-coding RNA from Mauremys reevesii (Reeves's turtle), 687 nucleotides. RefSeq lists it as uncharacterized. The transcript is spliced from 4 exons. The record is from RefSeq and is a predicted model, not a curated record. NCBI's taxonomy places the organism in Eukaryota, Metazoa, Chordata, Testudines, Geoemydidae.
GGUUUACCUGCUGUGCUCUAGGGGUACUGGGCUUAGUCUAUCCACAGGAACUAGCUACCCUGUGACAAACUGCUACAUGUGGAGGAAGACUAUUACAGUUCAGUGCUACAAAAAUGCCAAUUCAUUGAAACUGAAACUCUUUGUGGGGGAACAUACCAGUUUCACUGAAACUUUCCUCAAGUCCAGGAGAAAAUUUCUGGGAAGAGAGAGAGAGAAAAAUAUCCCAGAAUAGCCAAAAACCCCAGAAUAGCCAAGAAUAACGUGGGUUUCUCACAUCCCAGCUUGAAUGAACUUUACAUGGGAGGUGAGGGUUGUAACCUUCAGAAUAAUCCAAUUCAAAUGUUCACUGGACUGUAAAAGAGAGGAGCAGAGAACCCCAAGUGAUCUUUCACCUAAGAAGACAAAAGAACCAAGCACUUUGGACAUUGUGAGCUCUUGAUUGGAGGACAUUGGUCAACCAUCUUGCUAGAAGGUAGCUUGGUAAAGAAACUACUUUGAAGGAAGGCUGUAGCUUAUUUUAUUAAGUCUUAGCCUCUAGAAAUCAUUUUUACUUUAAUUUGCUUGUAAUCAUUUCUAACUCUUUUAUACUUGAUCUCACUUACAAUCCCAUUUCCAUUUGUUAAUAAGAUUGUUUUAUUUUUAAUCUAAACCAACCCUGUGCUGUUUGAUAUAAAGUUAAUCAAUUAA